Drosophila simulans is the source of this 958-nucleotide RNA transcript. RefSeq lists it as uncharacterized. The transcript has 2 exons. NCBI's taxonomy places the organism in Eukaryota, Metazoa, Arthropoda, Insecta, Diptera, Drosophilidae. The record is from RefSeq and is a predicted model, not a curated record.
UAUUUAAUUUUUAAUGUACUUAUUAUAAGUUAUAAAUAUUGUUAUUAAUUAUUAGUCACCACCAUGAAUACAAACAAAUAAUGAAUUUCCAAAAACUGAAAUACUGAAUUCGGCUGAUGUUUCUCCGGACAUAGGGUACCAAAGGGGCCACUGGAGCCAUGCUCUUACGGAAAGUGGUUAUAGGUUGAUGCAAGCAUGCUCAAUUCUUGAUAUUAAUCAUUAAUGUCUGUAGCGAAAAUGUAUCUGUACAAGCAAGACCACCACACCCAACGCCAUGAGCUAGAUCUGGACUCUGAAGCGUGCACCCGCAUUACAAGUUCCCUUGCCGACCAUCAAUUUAUUUCGUCACAAUUUGCAUUUCCAAAUUCGCUGGAGGCUAUCGUAACUUGGUCGACAUGGCUCCACCCUCCAUCACGCUGGCGCAAUUCCAAAUGCUUUAUUGUGGCCAAGGUUAGGGACAGGGUGCCAGUUGCGCCCCGAAAAAAAACGGUAGACUGGAGCAUAUAUCGCUGAAAGUCGGAAUUAGCUUCUCGGGAACAGUCCAGCAGAAUAGGAGGACCGACAUGCCGGCAAUACGAGGAGCAGUCCACACUGCUAGCGGAAGAUGCAUAUGACGACGCAGUCAGUGGCACUGAGAUGUGCGAAAAGCUGCGGACCAGCGGGCAGCAAGCUCUAUGUGAGCGCAGCAUCAGUAGUUACAACCGAAUCCGGCAUUAUGAAAAGAUGGAGUAGAGUUGCUGUGAUGAGGACACCAACAGGAUUGACGAAGCGGGCAGUGAAUAAGCUGGCAGGUCACGGAGCCGCCAGUAAUUCACAAAUUUCUACUAACCAAAGACAUUAGAAUAACAAGAUGCGUAACGGCCAUACAUUGGUUUUGCACUCUGAAGACGAUUUUCGGGCCGAAAUCCAUUCUGAUCCAAGAAACGAAUUUACAUAUUUACAUAAAUAAUUACAGCAA